Molecule: ribosomal RNA, 495 nt
Filed under: uncultured bacterium
Lineage: Bacteria
Description: partial 16S ribosomal RNA
Rfam family: Bacterial small subunit ribosomal RNA
Source: RNAcentral
UGAACGCUGGCGGCGUGCCUAAUACAUGCAAGUCGAGCGAACGGACGAGAAGCUUGCUUCUCUGAUGUUAGCGGCGGACGGGUGAGUAACACGUGGAUAACCUACCUAUAAGACUGGGAUAACUUCGGGAAACCGGAGCUAAUACCGGAUGAUAUUUUGAACCGCAUGGUUCAAAAGUGAAAGACGGUCUUGCUGUCACUUAUAGAUGGAUCCGCGCUGCAUUAGCUAGUUGGUAAGGUAACGGCUUACCAAGGCAACGAUGCAUAGCCGACCUGAGAGGGUGAUCGGCCACACUGGAACUGAGACACGGUCCAGACUCCUACGGGAGGCAGCAGUAGGGAAUCUUCCGCAAUGGGCGAAAGCCUGACGGAGCAACGCCGCGUGAGUGAUGAAGGUCUUCGGAUCGUAAAACUCUGUUAUUAGGGAAGAACAUAUGUGUAAGUAACUGUGCACAUCUUGACGGUACCUAAUCAGACAGCCACGGCUAACUACGUG